RNAcentral lists this transfer RNA (140 nucleotides) under Tannerella sp. RNAcentral describes it as "tRNA-OTHER". It matches the Rfam family "tRNA". From Rfam's summary of the family: Transfer RNA (tRNA) molecules are approximately 80 nucleotides in length. The record is from RNAcentral. Lineage: Bacteria; Pseudomonadati; Bacteroidota; Bacteroidia; Bacteroidales; Tannerellaceae.
GAAGCAGUGUCGAAACGGUAAACGAUUGGGUGUAGAGUUAUACACGAAGUCUCCGGCAAGAAUGAAAUGCGCAAACCGGAUUGACACGUGCAAAGAAUCCCGAAUAUCUCUGCUUGCAGGUUCGAUUCCUGCCUGCUUCA